This 429-nucleotide ribosomal RNA is filed under the name Acidobacteriota bacterium. RNAcentral describes it as "Acidobacteria bacterium partial 16S ribosomal RNA". It matches the Rfam family "Bacterial small subunit ribosomal RNA", at positions 355 to 776 of the family's 1533-position model. Lineage: Bacteria; Pseudomonadati; Acidobacteriota. The record is from RNAcentral.
UGGGGAAUUUUGGACAAUGGGGGAAACCCUGAUCCAGCCAUCCCGCGUGUGCGAUGAAGGCCUUCGGGUUGUAAAGCACUUUUGGCAGGAAAGAAACGUCAUGGGUUAAUACCCCGUGAAACUGACGGUACCUGCAGAAUAAGCACCGGCUAACUACGUGCCAGCAGCGGCGGUAAUACGUAGGGUGCAAGCGUUAAUCGGAAUUACUGGGCGUAAAGCGUGCGCAGGCGGUUCGGAAAGAAAGAUGUGAAAUCCCAGAGCUCAACUUUGGAACUGCAUUUUUAACUACCGGGCUAGAGUGUGUCAGAGGGGGGUGGAAUUCCCCGUGUAGGAGUGAAAUGCGUAGAUAUGCGGAGGAACACCGAUGGCGAAGGCAGCCUCCUGGGAUAACACUGACGCUCAUGCACGAAAGCGUGGGGAGCAAACAGG